GAGAUGUGGUGUUACCAUUGCAAGCUGGAGUCAAAACAGCAGUCCACGGAGUGACAAUAUGUUAAUUCCUCCUCAAAGGAAAAGUUCAAAAUGCAGUCAUCAGCAGGUAACUGGAAGGUAACUUGAUAUGCACUGACUUUUGGUACAGGAGAGGGCUUGUAUACUUCUGGAUUUCCUGGAACCUGGGCAAGCUAUCAACUCUGAUUGCUACAUCAGAAUGCUGACUAAAUUGAAGGUUUGAACUUCCAGACAGUCAGGCCAAAGAAGAAUACAACCUAUCUUCUCCAAUGUGAUAGUGCUAGGCUCCGUACCAGUUUGAAGACCACAGAACACACAACGAAUCUUGGCUGCACUGUCCUACCACACCCACCAUAUGGUCCAGAUCUGGCACCUUCUGACUUCCAUUCAGUCAGGAUGAUGAAAGAUGAUGAAAGAUGUGGGCAACAUUUUCUUACCAAUGAUGCCAUUGAAACAAUGUGAAACAGUGGGUCAACUCCACUGGUGCAGAUUUUUACAAGUUUUACAUGCAGACUCUUGUUCAUUACUGGCAAAAUGUACAACUAAUGGUGGAGACUAUGUUGAAAAAUAGUGUUUUGUAAUUGAGAAUUUGCUUUAUCAACUAGUGUUAUUGUGCUCUUGGUUUUAUCUGAAAUUUAAUUUAAUAGGAUUUGACAGUUCUGAUGUUUGAACUAGCAUUACUUCUUCUGCUACAUCAAGAAAUAUUCCCCAAUCUGAUCUUUCUACCCUUUCUUCAAGUUUCUUCCUUUGUAUAAGCAAACUCUGAAGUGAAGUUUUAAAAGAAAAGUGGGUGUACACUACCUUGCGUUGUGCCUUCGUGCAACCAUUUUGCUUUACAUUAGCAAAAUGGCUUUGGGGACAUACAUAAACUAAAACCAAAGGCUGAAUUCCACCUUUGCAGUAUGGUAAAUGCAUAUAUUCUGUGUAGUCCUAUUUCUGAAAGUUGUCAUACUAUCUCACCAUCAUGCGAAUUCUCCUCAAAUGUAUUGUUUAUACUCUGCAGGAGUCAAAGGGGACAUGGGGCUGCCUGGUUUUCCUGGGCCACCAGGUAUGAAAGGUCAUCAGGGUGACCAAGGACCCAUUGGACCUCCUGGCUUAAUGGGAUUACCUGGAUUUCAAGGAGCAACAGGCAUGGCAAUUACUGGCCCAAAAGGCAUUCCUGGUGCAGAUGGAAGACCAGGUAUUCCUGGUUUUCAAGGGCUGCCUGGUCUUCCCACUAUGAGCAUAAAAGGAAGCAAAGGUGUUAGAGGAGCAGAUGGCAUACCAGGACCAAUGGGCCCAGCUGGUGAUAGUGGUCCUCCGGGUCCAAAAGUCAGUGAAAGGAAUGCUACAUGUUUCUUUUACAUUGAAAACAUUGAAAACAGUGUUUCAAUUGUAAAUUUCAUUCUUACCAUGAAAAUAACACCCAAAGUGAAAGAAAGAAAUGUGUAA
RNAcentral lists this long non-coding RNA (1449 nucleotides) under Chrysolophus pictus (golden pheasant). Its description in RNAcentral is "lncRNA (ENSCPIG00010010251.1)". Lineage: Eukaryota; Metazoa; Chordata; Aves; Galliformes; Phasianidae. The record is from RNAcentral.